UUUAACCUAAGCAGGAGUGAA
Non-coding RNA from Caenorhabditis elegans, 21 nucleotides. The record is from Ensembl. Lineage: Eukaryota; Metazoa; Nematoda; Chromadorea; Rhabditida; Rhabditidae.